AAUUUUGGACAAUGGGGGAAACCCUGAUCCAGCCAUCCCGCGUGUAGGAUGAAGGCCUUCGGGUUGUAAAGUACUUUUGGCAGAGAAGACAAGGUAUCCCUUAAAAGGGGAUACAGCUGACGUUAUCUGCAGAAUAAGCACCGCCUAACUACGUCCCACCAGCCGCGGUAAUACGUAGGGUGCAAGUGUUAAUGGGAAUUACGGGGCGUAAAGCGUGUGUAGGCGGUUCGGAAAGAAAGAUGUGAAAUCCCAGGGCUCAACCUUGGAACUGCAUUUUUAACUGCCGAGCUAGAGUAUGUCAGAGGGGGGUAGAAUUCCACGUGUAGCAGUGAAAUGCGUAGAUAUGUGGAGGAAUACCGAUGGCGAAGGCAGCCCCCUGGGAUAAUACUGACGCUCAGACACGAAAGCGUGGGGAGCAAACAGG
RNAcentral lists this ribosomal RNA (424 nucleotides) under uncultured bacterium. RNAcentral describes it as "partial 16S ribosomal RNA". It matches the Rfam family "Bacterial small subunit ribosomal RNA", at positions 360 to 776 of the family's 1533-position model. The record is from RNAcentral.